CUUGCCGGGCGGCGGCAGCGCUGCCAACCCCGUCAGGUCCGAAAGGAAGCAGCGGCAACAGAGGUUGCCGGGUGCCCGGCGCUCAU
This 86-nucleotide signal recognition particle RNA is filed under the name Desulfovibrionaceae bacterium. RNAcentral describes it as "signal recognition particle sRNA small type". It matches the Rfam family "Bacterial small signal recognition particle RNA". From Rfam's summary of the family: The signal recognition particle (SRP) is a universally conserved ribonucleoprotein involved in the co-translational targeting of proteins to membranes. Lineage: Bacteria; Pseudomonadati; Thermodesulfobacteriota; Desulfovibrionia; Desulfovibrionales; Desulfovibrionaceae. The record is from RNAcentral.